Molecule: non-coding RNA, 1275 nt
Organism: Chlorocebus sabaeus (green monkey)
Lineage: Eukaryota; Metazoa; Chordata; Mammalia; Primates; Cercopithecidae
Source: RefSeq, a predicted model, not a curated record
CGGAGUUAAGGGUGUCUUUCGAGGCUCAGUCCCCGCGACGCCGGCUGGUUGGUGCUCCUGCGCCUGAAGAGUUCUGCGUUUCGGGCUGGUGACUGGGUCCAGAAUGGCUUCGGACUCGGGGAACCAGGGGACCCUCUGCACGUUGGAGUUCGCGGUGCAGAUGACCUGUCAGAGCUGUGUGGACGCGGUGCGCAAGUCCCUGCAAGGGGUGGCAGGUGUCCAGGAUGUGGAGGUGCACUUGGAGAAUCAGAUGGUCUUGGUACACACCACUCUGCCUAGCCAGGAGGUGCAGGCUCUCCUGGAAGGCACGGGGCGGCAGGCAGUACUCAAGGGCAUGGGCAGCGACCAGUUGCAGAAUCUGGGGGCAGCAGUGGCCAUCCUGGGAGGGCCUGGCACCGUGCAGGGGGUGGUGCGCUUCUUACAGCUGAGCCCUGAGCGCUGCCUCAUCGAAGGAACUAUUGACGGCCUGGAGCCUGGGCUGCAUGGACUCCAUGUCCAUCAGUAUGGGGACCUCACAAACAACUGCAACAGCUGUGGGGACCACUUUAACCCUGAUGGAGCAUCUCAUGGGGGCCCCCAGGACUCUGACCGGAGAGGGCCAAGAGGACCUUGCCUGCCCAGUCCUUGGGGAGCUCAGAUCCUACCAGACUGGUACCCACAGGAGGAAAUGGGUACUUUGGGGAAGCAGGAAGAGGCAUCGGAAUCAGAAAGUCAGAAGAUAGCAGAUUGGCACCAUGUGGCACACAUCCCCUCUACACACACUGGGUCUCAUUCCAGCACCGCGGAGACCUGGGCAAUGUCCAUGCUGAUGCUGACGGCUGCGCCAUCUUCAGAAUGGAGGAUGAGAAGCUGAAGGUGUGGGAUGUGAUUGGCCGCAGCCUGGUUAUUGAUGAGGGAGAAGAUGACCUAGGCCGGGGAGGCCAUCCCUUAUCCAAGAUCACAGGGAACUCUGGGCAGAGGUUGGCCUGCGGCAUCAUCGCACGCUCUGCUGGCCUCUUCCAGAACCCCAAGCAGAUCUGCUCUUGCGAUGGCCUCACCAUCUGGGAGGAGCGAGGCCGGCCCAUCGCUGGCAAGGGCCGAAAGGAGUCAGUCCAGCCCCCUGCCCACCUUUGAGCAGGACCUCACCUUGGCUCUGUUGCUGUCCUCCAGGGCGAGCACUUUCCUCUUCCAGAGGGGGCCAGAGGGACCUUGCCUGCCCAGUCUUUGGAGAGCUCAGUACAGGGCAGGAGCUGCUGCGGUGUUCCCUUGGCAAAUGAGUUUUAUUUUCAUUUGGGA